UGCGAAUGCAGUGAUGACAAAAUCUAACCCAGCUCUAUGAGACCUUUAAUGAGGUCCGGGAAUAUAUUGUUUUUCCAACAUAUCUGAGCUUCGCC
Molecule: small nucleolar RNA, 95 nt
Filed under: Nicotiana attenuata
Lineage: Eukaryota; Viridiplantae; Streptophyta; Magnoliopsida; Solanales; Solanaceae
Source: RNAcentral